AACGAACGCUGGCGGCAUGCCUAACACAUGCAAGUCGAACGAGAACUUCGGGUAUUUUUGCGAACGGGUGGGUCAGGCGAGGGAAGAGUAACUUGGGUUGGGUCUAACUUCCAGCAGGGGGUGAUAAUACGAGAUGAUGUCUUCGACCCCACGAUUUCUCGACUCGGGAUGGGUACGCGUUGGAUUAGCUAGUUGGUAGGGUAAAAGCCUACCAAGGCGACGAUCCAUAGCUGGUCUGGGAGGAUGAUCAGACACCCUGGGACUGAGACCCGGCCCAGACUCUUACGGGAGGCAGCAGGUGGGAACAUUCGACGACGGGUGAGAGCCUGAGCUAUCAAGGCCGUGUAAGUCAGUAAGUCCUUAGGAUUGUAAAGCACUGUGAACCGCGAUGAUAAUGACGGUACCGGGAGAAUAAGCUCCGGCUAACUCCGUG
This 433-nucleotide ribosomal RNA is filed under the name uncultured bacterium. RNAcentral describes it as "partial 16S ribosomal RNA". It matches the Rfam family "Bacterial small subunit ribosomal RNA", at positions 29 to 507 of the family's 1533-position model. The record is from RNAcentral.